Molecule: long non-coding RNA, 2156 nt
Filed under: Homo sapiens (human)
Lineage: Eukaryota; Metazoa; Chordata; Mammalia; Primates; Hominidae
Description: testis expressed transcript, Y-linked 10
Source: RNAcentral
AGUUUCAGAAGUUCGUGGGUCAUUUAACUGUAAACGCCUAAAUUUUAAGAGAGCCCUUACUCUUAUACAGUGAAUUUGGAGGACUGGCUUAGGACAAGGCCCUCUAUGUUCAGAAUGUUUAUCACUUUUCUCUCUUUUUUUUUUUUUUUUUUGACAACGAAGUUUCGCUCUUGUUGCCCAUGCUGGAGUGCAGGGGCGCGAUCUGCCCGUCUAAUUUUUGUAUUUUUAGUAGAGAUGGGGUUUCACCAUGUUGGCCAGGCUCUCAAACCCCUGACCUAGUGAUCCUCCCGCCUCUGCCGCCCAAAUUCCUGGGAUUGCAGUAGUGAGCCACCGCGCCCGGCCUAUUUUUUUCAGUCUUAUCUUCUCUACCUCACCACCUCACAGUAAAGCAUAUAGGUUCGACAACAUCACCAAGGACCAAACAUUGUGGUAGAUGUACAUGCAAUGUACAUGCAGAGUACAGGUUGAUGCCUGAAUAAAGAGAUGCUGGGUGAGUGUCUGAACCUAGAUGACAUGGAGGAGUCCUGCAGAAAAUAUUUGCUAUUGAAUUCAAAGGUCUAUAGAGAGUUCUCAACUAAUGAAAAAUCAUUGCAUUAUCUUGAGAGCAAUAGCAAUGAUCAUGCCAACAGUAAUUCAGACUGUGUCAUAAGUUGGGUCACACAGUCCCUAUUUUCAAACUUUGUGGAUGUCUGUCAACUGGCAGUGAAUUGUAUUCAGGAGAAAAGAAGUCUAAAAUACAUAAGAUAUUUUGCCUGCUAUGAAGCCAUUGGAGAAUCAGGUCCAGCUGUGUCCUACAGAUUUAUACCCUCACUUUGGAUGCACUGUGAAUCUUGAAACAAUUCAUUUUAUACUUAACCCUUUAAGUAUAAAGUAUAUACUUCAAGUAUAAAGUGUAAGGUUGCUUCAUUUCAUGGGCCCACCCAGGAUUUAAAGGUGUAUUCCCUGAAAGAAUUGGUUCCUUCCGGUGGGUUCCUGGCUGACUUCAAGAAUGAAGCUGCAGACACUUAUGGACUGGGAGGAGGCCCACGAGAAAAACAGGAAGAACAAGAGAAAGGCUGAGGCUCUAGUGGCUGCUUUGCAGACUUGCAGAGUCCAGGAUCCCCCAGGAACUUCCACUGAUUGCUACCUGUUACCAGUGUUAAAGCCAGGGCACUUUAAGAAGAAUUGCCCAAGCCACAAGAAAAAGCCACCUUGACCACUUUUGUGGUGAAGACCACUGGAGAUUGCACUACUGACCACCAAGACAGAGACACAAUAGCGAAUCUAGAAGUGGAAGUGUGAGAGAUACCUGCAGCUGUUAAGAUGUCUGGGAAUAGACACACAAACUCUCUCUCCCAGAUAAGCAACACAAAGCAGCACAGAGCAACAGAGACUGAAAGUCUGCCUACCUGAUCAGGGAAUAAGGUGAGAGUUGAUAAAGACUCUGCUCUAUACAGAAAGCAUACCUGGUUCCAACUAAAUCAUCAGGUUUUAUGAGGAUAAGACAUCCUCUCCUCACUAGUGCCCUCCUCAUUAGCCCAUUUACAAAAACCCUGAGAUUUUAGCACAGCUUGGCAACCUACUCAGGGCUCCUCUCUAUGCUGAAGAGCUGUUCUUUUUGUCUAUUAAACUCCUGCUCUAAACUCAUUCUAUGGGUGUGUGUAUCCACAGCCUUGAUCCACUUGGCUGUGAGACUAAGAUCCUUGGUAUUUACCACAGACAAUUAGGUUGUUUCAGAAAUUUCCUGUUUAAAAAAAAAAAAGACAUAGAUCUAAAAUUACCAAGUACCAGAGAAGAUAGAAAAUCAUGUGUUUUUGGAUUGUUUUGUUUCUGUUUGUUUUCUCAUUGUGCUUAAAAUGUCUGAGUUUGACUUUGUAUGCAUAUAAUACUUUUACUAGGGGAAUUACUGUAAAAUAUUUGUAUAUGGAUGGCUCUUAACCCUAUAUCAUUGGCACAUGUAAGAGCAUGGAAGAAUAAGACUCAAACAAGAAAGGAUUGACCAUUUAAUGGCAUGGUAAGUACACUGCCACAUCCAGCUUGAGAGACAACUCACAUAGACACAAAAACAAAAACUAGUCAACAUUAUGUUUCUGCUCCUCUAGACUUCAGAACUGUAAGAUAGUUACCCAUUUUAAAGUCACUUAUUAGGCAAUAAACGAGAGAAGAAAAGCAGAAAA